This 204-nucleotide unclassified non-coding RNA is filed under the name uncultured Tomentella. Its description in RNAcentral is "sequence contains ITS1". Lineage: Eukaryota; Fungi; Basidiomycota; Agaricomycetes; Thelephorales; Thelephoraceae. The record is from RNAcentral.
CCGAAUUGUCAACAAGAGUUGUUGCUGGUCCUCAAAACCAGGGGGCAUGUGCACGCUCUGUUCACACAUCCACUCACACCCUGUGCACCCUCUGUAGUUCUAUGGUCGGGGGGUUUGUCCUCCUGCUGUGGUUCUGCUUCUUUACACACACACACACUGUAACAAGUCUCAUGGAAUGUAUGCCGCGUUUAACGCAAUACAAUA